RNAcentral lists this ribosomal RNA (497 nucleotides) under uncultured bacterium. RNAcentral describes it as "partial 16S ribosomal RNA". It matches the Rfam family "Bacterial small subunit ribosomal RNA", at positions 28 to 507 of the family's 1533-position model. The record is from RNAcentral.
GAUGAACGCUGGCGGCGUGCCUAAUACAUGCAAGUCGAGCGAAAAGACGAGGAGCUUGCUCCUCUGACGUUAGCGGCGGACGGGUGAGUAACACGUGGAUAACCUACCUAUAAGACUGGGAUAACUUCGGGAAACCGGAGCUAAUACCGGAUAAUAUAUUGAACCGCAUGGUUCAAUAGUGAAAGACGGUUUUGCUGUCACUUAUAGAUGGAUCCGCGCCGCAUUAGCUAGUUGGUAAGGUAACGGCUUACCAAGGCAACGAUGCGUAGCCGACCUGAGAGGGUGAUCGGCCACACUGGAACUGAGACACGGUCCAGACUCCUACGGGAGGCAGCAGUAGGGAAUCUUCCGCAAUGGGCGAAAGCUUGACGGAGCAACGCCGCGUGAGUGAUGAAGGUCUUCGGAUCGUAAAACUCUGUUAUUAGGGAAGAACAAAUGUGUAAGUAACUAUGCACGUCUUGACGGUACCUAAUCAGAAAGCCACGGCUAACUACGUG